RNAcentral lists this ribosomal RNA (426 nucleotides) under uncultured bacterium. RNAcentral's name for it is "partial 16S ribosomal RNA". It matches the Rfam family "Bacterial small subunit ribosomal RNA", at positions 354 to 796 of the family's 1533-position model. The record is from RNAcentral.
GUGAGGAAUUUUCCGCAAUGGGCGAAAGCCUGACGGAGCAAUGCCGCGUGAAGGAUGAAGGCCUAUGGGUUGUAAACUUCUUUUCUCAGAAAAGAAUUAUGACGGUAUCUGAGGAAUAAGCAUCGGCUAACUCUGUGCCAGCAGCCGCGGUAAGACAGAGGAUGCAAGCGUUAUCCGGAAUGAUUGGGCGUAAAGCGUCUGUAGGUUGUUUAAAAAGUAUUCUGUCAAAGAUUAGGGCUUAACCCUAGAUAGGCAGAAUAAACUUUUAAGCUAGAGUUUGGUAGAGGCGGAGGGAAUUCCCGGUGGAGCGGUGAAAUGCGUAGAUAUCGGGAGGAACACCAAAGGCGAAGGCACUCUGCUGGGCCAAUACUAACACUGAGAGACGAAAGCGAGGGGAGCAAAUGGGAUUAGAAACCCUGGUAGUCC